This 1322-nucleotide long non-coding RNA is filed under the name Marmota monax (woodchuck). Lineage: Eukaryota; Metazoa; Chordata; Mammalia; Rodentia; Sciuridae. The record is from RNAcentral.
GUUUAGCCACUCAUGAGAUACAUGACUUUGGACAGGUUUCUUCACUUAUUUAUUUUCAGUUUCCUUACCUGCAAAGAAUGAAGCUGAUACUGUGUUUCCUUGAAUCUAGAGUACAACUAAGGAAGAAAAAUUGCUGCCAAUUAAACUAUGACACAACAUUGAUUAUGAAGCUCAUCAAUUUUAGAGCUGUUAAAAUGUAAAAAAAAAAAAAAAGCAUAUUACAAUUGAGGAUAUAGGAUAGCACUUACUUCAUGAUACUGAUGUGAAGACUAAGUGAUAUAAUUCAUAUAAAUGCCUAGCAUUUUGUCUGCCACACAGGAAAUCCUAAUAAAUGAUUACUACUAUUUUUACUACCAGAAGGUGAUGAUUUGGGUAAUUCCAGCAAAUCAUUUAACCCUCUGUGCUUUAUUCUCUUCAUCUUUAAAAUGAAUGGGCAACCAUAUGGCUCUGCCACCCAGAAUUAGGAAGAAAAACUAAUUAGAGAAUGUUUUUAGGUCCUUAGCAGUUCUAAUUGUGAAACACUAUCAAACUCCUUCCGCUACUCAUCUUCUGCAUCUGAAAACUGAGAAGGAAAUAUUUUCUGUAUAUUUUUAUGUAUGUAUCUAUUUAGCUGAAAUUCCAAGGUCAUUUUAAAGUUCUAUAUUUCUAUUAUAAUUAUUUUUAAUAAUUAUGUAAUUAAUAUUUUUAAUAAUAAUGUAAGUUUUAUGUAUCCCUUAUAAUUAUUUAAAAGGAAUUUUAAAUAUAAUACUCUUAAUGUUGGGCAAACCUAAAGAAAUAAUAUGUGAUUGCAAAAUUUUGCAGAUGUGUGAACUCCCACAUAUUUUAGAGCACUGAUAGAGUUAAUCUGUUAUAUUGGCUAGGUGAAAAAGGGAAAUAAGUUUUAGGUUAUUGCAAAUGAUUAUUAAACACAAAAGAGAUUCAUUUAAAGCAAGUCCCUAAUAUUAGUCACAGAGCCCUUACCUCUUUGAGUAGUAAGAGACCGACCAAUAGAGCCAACAGUUGUAGUAGAGAAGUUCAAUUUAAUUCAGCUUUCAGUUAUUGAACCAUUAGUAUAAAGGAGGCCUGAUACUAGGUUAUAGACAUGAAAAGAAAUUUAAGAUGAAGUUCUUGCCCUCUAAGAAUUUAUAUUUGGAUUAAAAAAUGACAACUACUAUAAAAGUGAUAUGGGAAGCAGCAACCAGUUCUACCUGGGUGAGCAAAGGAAAGCUUUACAUGCUGUAAAGGAGUUUCUAAUACAGGCUGGGCAAGAGUACUGCCUGAACAGAGAAGUGUUUGUAGAAUUGAUGGGUAUAAAGACACAUGGAUUUCAUGUAGCUUUGCAU